CUCUCUCUCCCUCCCCUCUCUGCUCUCUUCCCGAGCGGAGCCCGUCGCCGCCGCUCAUCGCCUACGUAGCCACAGCCUCCCCCUCGACCUCUCUCCGUGCUCUGAAGGACCGCCACGACCGCCUCUUCCUCCUCGAUGACUCACGCAAGCCGGACGCCCUGUAGAGCGGCCUUCAACGCCGUCUUCUUCCUCGAUGCCGUGGAUCGCCGCCGUCGAUUUCGCCGCGUGCAGGACCUCCCCGAGCACUCUAAGCGUCUCUGCGAGAUCAACGUGAGCCCCCGCAUCAUCUCCCACUGUUUUCCCUCUCGUUUUCGUCCUCUAGCCGUAGCCCCCUUCGACCGAGCGCCGCCGUCCGCCAUGGAUGUCGGCUAUGGCUCUGCCGUGCCUCUCCGCUCGAAUUCUUUAGCUAGUUGUGCUCCCCGCACCUCCAGGAGGCCGUAGAACUACUUGUAUUCCCCGCUAAUGCACCGUAGCGCUGCUUUGCCACUUGCCCGAAUUCCGGCGGCCGCCACCAGCUCGACUCCGGCGAUCUCGCUCCACCCUAGCUCCUCCCGCUCGCACCAUUCGAUGCGGACGAGUAUCCUCGUUCCGUAGAUGGCCUCGGCCUUCGAUUUGGUCGCCGUGGGACGAAACCCGAAUGCCUCCGCCGUCUCUGGACUCGCCGGCGACGAGCCGCGGGUCAACUCCGAUGAGUUUGACUCCGGUUGCCUGGGUUUGACUCCCUGCUCAGUCACUGACACGCGGGCCCGACCCUACUAAUUAAUCUAGGAUUAGUGCUAAUUAAACCAGGAUAGUUUAGUUAGUAACUGACACUGACACGCGGGACCCACUGCUUAGGUUUGACCUUGGCCGCUCCGUUGACCGCUGACGUCAGCGUGAUGUCAUACUGACGCUGCAAAUCAUUUACUGGAUUUUGUUUAAUUCUAAAUAACCAGAAAAUCCAGAAAAUGAUUUGAAAUUCUAAAAAUCAUAUAAAAUGAACCGUAACUCCAAAUGAAAUAAGUUAUAUAUGAAAAAUGAUCAGAAAAAUCCAAUCUAUCCAUCUGUACUAGUUUCAUGCAUGUUUAGACAAGUUAACUUGCCGUUUAGUGCAAAACAUGAUAAGGCACUAUUUAAGAUCACAAAUGAGUUUGAACUUUGAACCUUUGGUUCAAAAUGGCUCAAACCCAUCUGGUUGUAGUUGCAUUAGCCCAACAUACUCAUUUUGCCGUGUCAUGAUCAUGCAUCAUAUUGUGCAUUGCAUUGAUUGUGUUCCUUCUCUGUUGCCGGUGGUUGUCCCCUCUCGUUAGACGUGUUCCGACGAUGAGAUCGAUGACACUGUUGAAGAACAAUACUAUCUUCGGAAGUGCCAGGCAAGCAAAACCCCCUUGUUCAUUCCGAUACAAUCCCACUCUCUUGGUCCUGCUCUCUUUUACUACAUUAGGACAACAUCGAUUCAACUGUUACAUGCUGCGGUAGUUGAACCCCUUUUCCUCUGCAUGACCUGUCAUUGCCACAGUAAAUAGAUGAAACCCACUAGCAUGAGUAGGAGUUGUUUGAGCCCUGAUAUGCCUACUCAUUCAUGCUUGUUUGUCAUGCCUGCUACUGCUUAGAGUUGAGUCAGGUCUGAUUCAUCGGGGAUGAAUUGGAAUGGUGAUAAACAUGUCCUACUGUGUGAGCUAAGUGUUUGAACACGAUUUGGUAAAGGUAGCGGUGAGAGGCCAUGUAGGAGUACAUGGUGGGUUGUCUCAUUGAAGUCGUCCUCAGGAACUGAGUUCUGUGUUUGUGAUCCAUGAAACAGCUACUACCAUGCAUUGGGCCCUGAAAUAUGACCCCGCUCGACUUCUUAAUCACCCUAGUCCUCUGUCCAGGAGUUGCAAGUAGUUUCUGGUGUUUGUAGUAUGCUGGAGGCUGUGCACAGCGCUGACCCGAGGGGUGGGCUGUGAUGCGGUAGGCACGUGGCCGGGUAUGCCGGGCGCCCGUUUGGUGUCGCAGAACCUUGUACACAUCGUUCGGGGCUGUAUGUGGAAACCUCGAUCGGACUCCCUGCGGAUGGAACCUGAAUAGGCGAUAAACCUGGACUAGAGACUUGACUGUUUAGGUAGGUCGUGGUCUACACCCACGUCGGCUUUCGCUUGAAGUCUGCCGAGCACAUGUCGUGUGCAGACGCUAAGUGGUGGAAACAUGUGUGAAGAAGUACACCCCUGCAGGGUUAUAAAUGAUCUAUUCGAAUAGCCGUGUCCGCGGUAAAGGACUUCUGGGUUGCCUAUAACAGUUCAUAGACAAGUGAAAGUGGAUACUCUAUAACUCGCAAGAUAAGCGUGAGUGCUAUGGAUGGCCUUCUCGUAGGGAGACGGGAGCAGAUCCAUAGUGGUGUAUUGAUAUGGUGAAUAUGUGGACUCGUGUGCGCCACCUCAAAAGAGUUACUUGCAGUCAUAGUUCAGGAUAGCCACCAAGUCAAAGCUGGCUUGCUGCAGUCAAACUCCACCACCCUGUUUGUUGAUACCGAUGCAUAUGUAGAUAGUUCUGAUGUAAGUCUUGCUGGGUACAUUUGUACUCACGUUUGCCUAUUUUAUGUUUUUGCAGAGAGACGUCAGUCUCGCUAAUAGUUCCGCGUGGACUUCGCCGUUUAGCUUGUUACCUCAGCUACGAUCUUGUGCCCUCGGCAGGGUCUUGUAGAUAGUCAGGCUUCUCAGCCUUCUUCAUUUGUAGUUGUCUGUACUCAGACAAGUUAAGCUUCUGCAUGUGCUUGUUUCUUGUAUGCUCUGUAUGUUGGGGCCAUGAGACCCAUGUUUGUAAUACUUGGCUCCUCGGAGCCUAAUGAAUAAAUACUUGAGUCGUAGAGUUAUGUUGUGAUGCCAUGUUGUAUUUACACAUAUCGAGCAUAUUGUGUGUA
RNAcentral lists this long non-coding RNA (2875 nucleotides) under Triticum aestivum (bread wheat). RNAcentral describes it as "long non-coding RNA (TAES_LNC013565)". Lineage: Eukaryota; Viridiplantae; Streptophyta; Magnoliopsida; Poales; Poaceae. The record is from RNAcentral.